UGGGGCAGGGGGCGCGGGGUGAGCCAUCAACUCCAGCCGCCUGCCUGGCCGCGCAAGGCGGGAAAGUGGGGGCGCUUUUGCGCCUCACGUUAAGUUUAGGGUCACGAGCACUCUUGUGGAGAUCGGGAGCGGUUGGGCUAGGGAUGAUGCCUCUUCCUCUUUCCCCUUCCCCUCCCUUCUUGUCCCCGCCUUUCCUCUGGGUCCUCCCGGGGACCACCCCCUACCCCUCGUCAGAGUCGCCCUGGGAGAGCCGAGGGCCUGAGGGUCGACCACCAAGGGCAGAGCCUAUCCCUUGGGGAGCUGCUGGAGGAGACAGGCAGCGCCGGGAGGUGGCUCACACCGCACCGCCGAGAGCGCUUUGCCCUCGCAUCGCUGAAAUUUAAUCACGGUCACAGAGCUGGAAGACAGCUGUUCCUGGAUCACACCAGAAUGGAGAAGCAAGCUCCUCCCACUAGCAGAAAGCCUUUGCUUUCUGUGCCUGGAUUCGGAAGAUUAGUUAAGCACUGGAAGAGGAGGGGGGAAACAACAACUCGUUUUUGCUGUAUGUUUUUUUUUUAAUUGUUUUUAUAUUUAUAGAAAGUUAUGCUUUGUCUGAUUCUUGCGCUAAUUUGGGUUCUGAAAUUUGAGUAAAAUCAAAUUUAAACAUACAAAACAACUUUAAAACCACAAGGAACAGGAAGCAAAUGAUUAUACAUAAAAGACAUAUAGAAGAUAAUGCAUAUGUGUUCAGUGGAAAAUAGAAAAGCAUGAAAGUAAGAUCACAAAUAUUUAUUAUUUAAACUCUUCCUUGAACUAUUGGUCUGCCCUUUGGAAAAGCAGACUUUCCUUAAUGCAGUAGCUCAUAUUAAUAUUUUUUGUUUGCUUAGGACCAGAGCAAGAAGGUUGGACUUGGGAGCUAGUUUGCUGUCUGGCUUUGAGACCUUGAACAAGUUUUGUUCUCCUUCUGUUUCCAGUUUUCUUUUUUGUAAAUUAGGAGAUUAACUCAUGUGAUCACUCUAUUUUCAACUUUUUGUUAUGGGAAAUAUUCAAACAUAUGCAAAAGUAGACAGAAUAAAGGACUCUCAUGUGAAGAUCAUCCAACUUUUACAUUUUUUCAAUGCAUGGCUGAUCAUGUCUCAUCCAUAAGUCCACUCACUUUAUCACUACCAAUCCUCCCUCUUUUUUUUUUUUUUUUACCAAAUUCAAGCUUUAUAUAUAUCUUUUCAGCUGUAAACAUUCAGUAUGCAUCCACAAAAUUUAAGGACUGUUUAAAAAUAACCACAAUAUCAUUAGAUGAUUCUUUAAAAUUGCAGUGUAAUUUACACCUAGGGAAAUGCUCAGAUGUUGUGUCCCUUUAAAUCAGUUUUGAAAAAGCCAUGCAUUAGUGUAACCCACACUAUUUUGAAGACACAGGACAUUUUCAUCAUUCCAGACAGUUACCUUGUACCUUCAUGUGCAUAUUCUAGAAUGUCAUAAAGAUCUAAUCACGUAGUAUAAACUUUGUUUUAUAUUUGUCUGACUUCUUUUACUCAGUAUAAUAUUUGUGAGGUUCGUUCAUGUCGUUGCAUGAAUGGGUGUUUUGUUUUUUAUUGCUUUUUGUUGUUUCUUUUUACUACUGUUAAUAGUAUAAGUUUUCCAUUGUGCCUCUUUACAACUAGUAUCUCAAUAGAGUAUUACAACAAUUAUUUAAUAUAUUAUUUCACAUGACAUAUUUAUAGUAUAACCAUGACCUCCUUGAGACCUAGUGCUUUAAGUCAAAGAGGUAAAUAAAAUGAGAUAUUUUAGGUCUCAUUACAACAGACCAAUGUGAGAGAAUUAUUUCUGGACAGUUGCACUUCUUAUAAACGUUUAACAUGAUUCCAAACUUUUAUUUGGUAAUUUGUUAGUCCUUUGGCAAAGGACUAAUGUACUAUGUUAUUUAGUCAUAACAAGCAGAUCAAUUACAUUUUAUGUAACUUUUAUAGACAGAGAAACUGAGCUCCAAGAGUUUUGGUGAUAUGCUGAGAUCACCUAGCUAUUUUAAGUGGCAGAGCUGAGACAAUUUAGCAGAAACUGUUACAGAAGGCACAAUUGUCUCCUGAAUUAGCAGUUUGUGUCUGAAGCCUCACAGAUUGGGUGUGGUAAAGAGUGAGAAGGAAAAAGGUAGAACCCAGCUGUGUUAGAAAUAGCCUUCAAAUUUGGAUGUGACAAUGGAAAUCAAGAAGAACUUAUGUUAUUAUGAAACAGUUCAUUCAUAUUUAAAGUUUUGCCUUUUCUAUAUUGGUAUUCCUCAAUAGGGGGAGAUGAUUUCUUACUACCUACAAAAAAAGAAAACUGUAAACUAAUUUCGUUGUCAUUUUGAAUUACAACUAUAUGUUUAACUCUUGUCACUCCUUAAAAUGCCUUGAACACAGUAAACAUCCAAUGAACUUUUAAUUACACAUAAUAUUGAUAGUGAUAUUGCAUAUGUUCUAGGUCUGUAUUCUUAAGGAGGGAAAGCUGCUCAAGUACAAAGAAGGGAACUAGAAGUUAAAAUAAAGUUUUUUUAAUUUUUCUUUUCAUUAUUGAUGGACAGCAUGGUCUUCAGUAAAUCUUUAGCCUCUCUGAAUAUAACGUUAAACUAAUUGAAUGGCUUGUACCUCAUAAGAAAUAUGAAGUUAUGAAGUAAUAACAUAUUUGGAAGCAUUACUAACAUGCAUAUUCUGUUCAUAACUACAAUAUUCAUGUUUUGUUUUCUCUUUGCUAAGUGAAAUAUAAAUAUUUUACCAGACCAUAAUAGGAUUCUUUUAUCUGGAUUUAAUUCAUUAAUUUUGCUAUAGAUUAACAUUCUAUGAAAUAUAUGCUUAACCUAGACUUUGUUUACCCCCAUAGAACAACUGAAUUUUUAGGUAUGGUAUGUGGUAAACUUGUGCUAUAGCAAAGACAGCAGAGUAGAAUGGCAUGAAAAUAAAGAUGCUGCCCAUUAACAAUUGAUUAAAGAGAGGACUGAUUUAAUGUGUUUAAGUUAAGAAAAUACAACGUUUAUUAUCUUUGGAUAAUAUUCCGUAUUUGUUGUGAACACAAGGGGUGAUGUAAUGUUGAUGCUGGAGCCACCUGCUUCUUAUUCUCUAUCUGCACCUUCCUCUCACCUUCUGUAAACCUGUGAGAGAGACGAGGUAGUGAGAUUGCGAUAGGCUUCUUGUGUAAUUUCAUAGUGGGUAGAGUAGAGAAAGCCUAAUGCAUACUGUUGGGAGAUCAUUAUGUAUGAUUUUGGAAAGGGGGUGAGCAUGAGAUGGGGGAAUAGGGUUACUCUGAAGAAAUGGGAAGAGCAAUCAAGGAGAAGCAUAGUAUUCAGAUUCUCUAAUUUGACCCCAUGGCCAACUUCAUAUUGUUUCCACUAGAUAUCAUUUUAAAUAUUCCUGUGGUUUCGUGGUCCUAAGAAUAUGAAGGCAUGCAAGAUUCCAAGAUUAAAGAUGUUAAAGCCAGAUAGAAAAGAUAUUUAAAUAUUUCAAAAUCUAACAAGUUCAAAUGACUUUAGUUUUAGAAAGAAAAAAACACAUUAAUGAGCCCAAGAAAUACACGCAACUCUGCAACUCUGGUGAGCAUGAUAGACUUCUAAGAGUAAAUGUACUAGAUACAACCUAAAUUCAGGGACUUAUUAAAGCUCUACUACUCAUUACUAGUGACUCAGAGCAAGUAUCUAUAACCUCUCUAAUCUCUAGUUUUCUCAUUAAAAAAUGGGCAUGAUAUUUUACUUGUCUUGUUUGAUUGUUGUAAGGAAUGAAUAAUGUGGCUCAUAGCAAAGAGCCAGGCAGAGUGGAAGCUCUCAGUACAAGUAGCUAUUGUUAUUAUCUAGCCUCCAUGUUUUGGGUGUCCUAGGACAUGCUUUUUUUUUUUUUCCAUUGCAGUAGAUUUCCACCUGUUCCCAUCCUCCACAGUCUCCCAUCCCACCAGCAACACACGUGAGAUAUCUGAUGCCUUCCCAUCAAUAACUCUCACUUAGUAUGGGUAAGCAAAAAAUUUCCAACCAGGGAUGGAAGUUGUGGAGAGAUAGAGUGGGAAAGCUCAAGGAGCAUUGAUAGGGAUCAUUAAUUAAAAAUCUACCAAACAUCUCUUUCUCUCCCUAAUGUGCGAGUUACAAUAACAUCACUCAAAGCAGUUUGCAGCCACAGCUUGAAGAAAUACAGUAACAAUGACAGAAUUAACAUUCACUAUCUUUAUUAACAUUUUUACUUUCUUAAACCUUGUUUCUUUCAAAAGACACUGGCAUAGUCCUGUAUGAAUUAUGUGGAUUUGCCAAGAGAAAAAAAUAAAAUGAUACAACAAAUGGUGUUCCAAGUUUGACAGACCCUUUGUGCCAGUGGCUCUGAAAGGCUUCAGAAUGAAUAUCCAAUUCAGAAAUCAGUCCCUAAUAUUUCAGAUUAGUGAAGAAUCAACAGACUGAACAGCAUUUGUAUUCAGAAAGGAAGAAAAUAAAUGAAUUUUUAAAAUAUCACGG
RNAcentral lists this long non-coding RNA (4435 nucleotides) under Homo sapiens (human). RNAcentral's name for it is "HSALNT0074994". The record is from RNAcentral. Lineage: Eukaryota; Metazoa; Chordata; Mammalia; Primates; Hominidae.